This 375-nucleotide unclassified non-coding RNA is filed under the name uncultured bacterium. RNAcentral describes it as "contains 16S-23S intergenic spacer region". The record is from RNAcentral.
UCCGAGUUGACCCCGGCGGUCUCCUAUGAGUUCCCACCAUUACGUGCUGGCAACAUAGGACGAGGGUUGCGCUCGUUGCGGGACUUAACCCAACAUCUCACGACACGAGCUGACGACAACCAUGCACCACCUGUGUACCGACCUUGCGGUGCGACUGUUUCCAGCCGUUUCCGGUAUAUGUCAAGCCUUGGUAAGGUUUUUCGCGUUGCAUCGAAUUAAACCACAUCAUCCACCGCUUGUGCGGGCCCCCGUCAAUUCCUUUGAGUUUUAAUCUUGCGACCGUACUCCCCAGGCGGGCAACUUCACGCGUUAGCUGCGUUACUAAAGGAGUUCAUCCUCCAACAACUAGUUGCCAUCGUUUAGGGCGUGGACUAC